Long non-coding RNA from Cyprinus carpio carpio, 2475 nucleotides. Lineage: Eukaryota; Metazoa; Chordata; Actinopteri; Cypriniformes; Cyprinidae. The record is from Ensembl.
AAAUGACAAGAUGAAACAAGACAGAAAGGGUAAAAGGAAUUCUUAAGUAAAAAACAAACAUAAUGGAUAUUAACAUUUACUGAGAAGGACCGUCAGAUUAAGAGAGUGAUGACAAGCACUAAAAAAAGAUCAAAGUUUACAAGAGGCAGUGUAGUGCAACAGCGUCAUUUUGAUGGAUUAUUUUCUGUGAUUAUGCAAGAGAUAUUUUUUUUUUGUCACGAAACAAGUCCUGAUAUAAUGUUUUAGCAUCUUAUUCUUCACAAAUAAAUGCUUUGUAGAGGAAAUGGAGGCGUUUAGUAGACUGGUGUUGAGCUUCUCUCUAAUUUAAGGCAAAAUGAAAAUGUAUAGUGCAAAGAUUAUGGCCUGUAUAAUGAACAUAUAGCUUAGGAACCACUGCCCCCCCUUUUUUAAACUCAUAUACUUGUGUAUUUUUGGCUCAAGGAAACCAAAUCCUAUUUGAAGCUUUUGUAAACAGAACUGGGACUGCUGUAUAACUGCAAAAAGUAAAUUUUUUACAUUUUCUAAAGAAAUUGUACUGUAAGAGCAGCUCUUACAACUGUUUUUAAUGAAACCUGAGAUAUCUCUGUCUCUCCUUAAAAAAAUCCAAGUAAUCAAAACUUUAAAGGUCAAAGAUUUUGGAAAAUGAAACCAUAUGAAUGACUCAGUUUAAAUAUGUUUAACACAGAAGCUCGAAUGUUUGCAGCAUAUAUAAUGUGCUCUAUAUUUAUGCUAUGCGGUAUGUUUACACGACCAUGAUGUGCUAUAAAACGGAAAAGAUUUUCCUUUACAUUUUUAAUAGUUUUGCAUACAGAUGACAAUGGUGUCAAAACUAUCCCCUUUUAUACGGACUGCAAAAACGUCUAAAAUGCUGCAUGUAAGGUGGCGAUGCCACUUUAUAAAGAAACUUGCACACGGACAGAGUCAGUGAGUGUAUGAGUCAGAGUCAGUGAGUGUAUGAUGCCUAGCGUUUUAAAAUCUGUACAGACUUUAAAAGUCUAAAAGUUGUAAAAAGUUAGACUCUCUGCCUCUUUUCUUGCAGUAAAUUUAGCUCAGUCUCUCAUCAUAAAAGGUAAUUUCUUUUGUUUCUCAUGGUUGUCAGCUUGCUGGGUCAUGCGAAUCACAGAGGCCUGGCUGGGCCUCAAAUUAGCGCUUGCUGAAAAACCCUUGAAGAACCAGGAGCUUCAUGCUGCUCCCGCUCAUGCACGCUGACACUUUCCCCACCUCCAGCCGUGCCGCUUUUCAAAAACAAAGACUCUAAUUGCGGGAUGUGUUUUGACCCGUCUGUGUGCCAGCAGCAAAUCAACCUCAUACCGGCCAGCGGUGAUUUUGGACUUUGCGACUUGAGUUUAUGCAGUUUGCUGUGUGCCCAAGAAACUGAGAAGUAAAUUAGUCAGAACCGAGCUAGUUCCGCCUCAGAUAAAGUUUGGAUCAUCCUGUAUAAUCUGUUUAGUUUAUGAGGACGAUGUGCACGAACAGUCCAAGAAAUAAAUACAUAUGAACAGCAUCCAAAAGUAUGAGACCACCACUGACAAUCUGUCUAACAUUUUUGCAAAAUCUGAUGAUCAUGUUCUCCAGCAUGAUUUGAGAAUGAUCCAAAGAGCAUCUUGUGCUUCACUGGAAAAGAAAUCUUAAAACAAAUGUCUCACUGUAGUCACACUACUAAGUAAAAUACUAAGUGCUUAGGAGUGAAAUACUAAGUGUACAAAAAUUAUUCCCCAGAGAAAGUUCCAGUAAGAUUAUCUUGCAUGCUCAAAGUUAUCAGUCCUUUUAGACGUUUUGUUAUACGUCUUUAUUAUCCAACACCCUGUCUGACUGAUCUUGCAACACAGGCCCAAACCUGCUGGCCAGAAAUGAUUCUCUGAGUGUGUGUUCAGUUCAGUCUUAACUGCACUGUGACACUUUCAUGAUAAGCCUUUGUGUUUCCAUCCUGCCAGUCGGCUCUGGUUUGGCAUUUCUUUUCUUUUGUUAACUAACUUUAUAAGAAUUGCCAAGUAGUUCAUGCUAUUGAACGGGAGAUAUUUCACCUUCCAGUAUAGAAGACAUCUUAAUCCCUUUCUCAGUUUCACUCUGGUCACAUAAUCAUGAUUGAAAGAAAGCUUUCCAUGAGCCAUCUGAUAUAUGGCGAAUACAAAGAAAGAAUAAGGCCCCUCUUCACUUAAAAUAUAUUUAUGGAUCUGCAUCUCUCACCUCUGAGCUGUUGGGGAAGGUGAAGAUGCAAAAAUAGAUGAAAAUAAUCACAGAUAUUUAAUCACUAGAACAAAUGUUUUCUCUGCAUAUAGGAACAGUUUGUGAUAUUCAGUGUCCACCAGUUUCAAACAAUACCUUUAAAAAAAAUAAUAAUAAUUAUAUAUAUACAUAUUGCUUGCUCACUUUAAAAGUACUAAGCGACACAUAAAUACAAUAUACAGUGGAAUCAAUAUAUCUCAGACCAAUGACAAAUGUUUCCACUUUUUGUUUCUGUUUUUUAUUUAAUAC